This 109-nucleotide ribosomal RNA is filed under the name uncultured bacterium. Its description in RNAcentral is "partial 16S ribosomal RNA". The record is from RNAcentral.
AACGGCCCUACCGGGUUGGUUAAACUAGCUUUUGUCAGGGGAAGUAAACCCAACCUACGUGUAGUGGGUUGGAAUGUACUCUGAGAAUAAGGAUCGGCUAACUCCGUGC